UACGGAGGGUGCAAGCGUUAAUCGGAUUUAUUGGGCGUAAAGGGCGCGUAGGCGGGAACGCAAGUCAGAUGUGAAAUUCCUGGGCUCAACCCAGAAACUGCAUUUGAAACUAUGUUUCUUGAGGGUAGAUGGAGAAAACGGAAUUCCACGUGUAGCGGUGAAAUGCGUAGAUAUGUGGAAGAACACCAGUGGCGAAGGCGGUUUUCUAAUUUAUUCCUGACGCUGAUGCGCGAAAGUUGGGGGAGCAAACAGG
RNAcentral lists this ribosomal RNA (253 nucleotides) under uncultured bacterium. RNAcentral describes it as "partial 16S ribosomal RNA". It matches the Rfam family "Bacterial small subunit ribosomal RNA", at positions 524 to 776 of the family's 1533-position model. The record is from RNAcentral.